AUUGAACGCUGGCGGCAGGCUUAACACAUGCAAGUCGAGCGGAGCGAGGGUGCUUGCACCUUAGCUUAGCGGCGGACGGGUGAGUAAUGCUUAGGAAUCUGCCUAUUAGUGGGGGACAACAUUCCGAAAGGAAUGCUAAUACCGCAUACGCCCUACGGGGGAAAGCAGGGGAUCUUCGGACCUUGCGCUAAUAGAUGAGCCUAAGUCGGAUUGGCUAGUUGGUGGGGUAAAGGCCUACCAAGGCGACGAUCUGUAGCGGGUCUGAGAGGAUGAUCCGCCACACUGGGGCUGGGACACGGCCCAGACUCCUACGGGAGGCAGCAGUGGGGAAUAUUGGGCAAUGGGCGGAAGCCUGAUCCAGACAUGCCGCGUGUGUGAAGAAGGCCUUUUGGUUGUAAAGCACUUUAAGCGAGGAGGAGGCUACUUAGAUUAAUACUCUGGGAUAGUGGACGUUACUCGCAGAAUAAGCACCGGCUAACUCUGUGCCAGCCGCCGCCGUAA
This 501-nucleotide ribosomal RNA is filed under the name uncultured bacterium. RNAcentral describes it as "partial 16S ribosomal RNA". It matches the Rfam family "Bacterial small subunit ribosomal RNA", at positions 30 to 523 of the family's 1533-position model. The record is from RNAcentral.